AUGGACUGCGCAUUCUAUAUGUACAUGAACCUGAAGCAGUACUCCAAUGAUGGAACAGCAUCAACCUUAGAGCCAGAACAAGUACCAGAGUUGAGGAAAAAAAUUCUAUAUCAACUAAUCAGACAACACAGAGGGAAUACCAAACUGUCAUUAAUCAAGUGUACAACAGAUAUGCUGAAGUAUGAAGUCAAUAUGGGAGACAAAGAAAUGCAACAGACAGAAUGUUGCGUACUAGAAGAGUUUCCGCCAAAUCUCGAGCCAAAAGAACAUAUUAUGCAUUCGACAACCACAAAAGAGCAUGAAGUUAUUGAUAUAUCCAGUAAACACAAAGAGGUUAUGGAUGUCAGCAGACAAGCCGUCGCCCAAGAAUCUUGCACAUACCACAAAGAAAAGGAUCUACCAGUAGAACCAGAUCAACCACCACCAGACAACAAGAUACCACACCAUGCUGAAGAGCAAACGGACAAGCAAAAUAUCAACAGCAAUACCCCGAGCACAAAGCAACUUGAACAAACAGGCACUGAUUUAAAAGAGGAUGGCACAAGCAACGAUGUACCAAAUACGGAAAAGCACGACGAAGUUGAUGAAUUUCUUUCAAGCCUUAACCCGCUCCAACUAGAGGAAUACAACGAGCAUGUAAAGAUGGGCGUUGGAUUCGAUGUAAUCAAAACAUGGUUGAAUGACCAUGAAAGCUAUGAAUUCAACAAAGAUCCCACGCCGUAUCUGACAAUCUUGCAGCAAGAAUCAAGAGAACAUUCAAUGCCUCAAUCAUCUGAGAAUAGCUCAGACAAGAAAAUCUCAGUCAAGAAGAGACCGGUAAAGCCUUCAAGAAAGCUGCAUGGAAAAAUUCCUACUUUUGUCCCAGGAGAUUUCAAAUAUAUAGACAAAGCCAGAGCACUUCAUGAAUACCUAUUCAGCAAAGAAGGACAUGACGAAUACGGAGAUCUAAAUGUAUAUAUUAGCUCGAAGCGACCCGAUUGGAUUACAGGAGAACAAAUGAUGGAACAGCUACGGAAAGGAGAUCAUGGACAGAUGGAGGGAUCCAUCGCAAACGCAUUGUUCGAAGAAUGGACAGUGCAGCAACAAUACAACACAACCGAUAAAGCCAUACUUCCCGCAGAAUUUGCAAACAUCGUGCUCGGUGUUAAAAUUGGAGAAAAAGGAGGACUAGCAGAAUUCAAUGAGGACGAAGCAUUGAAACAGUUUGCACCCCUUGUAACAGGGAAGGAACUUUUAAAGAAAAAGCCGAUUAUGAUACCUCACAACACAGCUAAACACUACACACUGUACGUGCUCAACAAGUACACAAGCUCCAUCGACAUACUUGACUCACUGAAUUAUGGAGACGAAGACCUUAAAAGGAUGCACACACUCAUGAAGAAGCAUUACGGCGAAGCGGAGCUACGAGCCGACGGCGAACCGAACUGGUCGAGGAUAGAAGAAACACCUAACAGAGUGUGCGUGCCAAAACAGCAGGGUACCCAAUGCGGACACUUCAUGGUUCAAUUUGCAAAAUACUGGAAUGACAUUGAUCUCAUAAAAGAUGAUGAGGAUUUCGAUCAAAGCAACGUAGAUGCCGAGUGGAAACCAGAGUUCCUUUUUACAGCCAUAUUUGGUGAAACAAACCAAGUAAAGUGCGAGAAACUACCUGGAAGAAUCAAAGAAUUCAAACCAGAAACUUCAAAGUUCUUUUCCACCAACAAAGAGGCCAAAAAUAAUGUAAAAAUAUGUUUCUCACUGACCGUGACCUCCAAAAUUAUUUAA
This 1764-nucleotide ribosomal RNA is filed under the name Triticum aestivum (bread wheat). RNAcentral describes it as "partial small subunit ribosomal RNA". Lineage: Eukaryota; Viridiplantae; Streptophyta; Magnoliopsida; Poales; Poaceae. The record is from RNAcentral.